Molecule: ribosomal RNA, 253 nt
Filed under: uncultured bacterium
Lineage: Bacteria
Description: partial 16S ribosomal RNA
Rfam family: Bacterial small subunit ribosomal RNA
Source: RNAcentral
UACGUAGGGUGCGAGCGUUGCCCGGAUUUAUUGGGCGUAAAGGGCGCGUAGGCGGCCACGCACGUCCGUUGUGAAAUCGCCCGGCUCAACUGGGCGGGGUCGGCGGAUACGGCGUGGCUGGAGCAAGCUAGGGGGCAAUGGAAUUCCCGGUGUAGUGGUGGAAUGCGUAGAUAUCGGGAGGAACACCAGUGGCGAAGGCGGUUGCCUGGAGCUUUGCUGACGCUGAGGCGCGAAAGCGUGGGGAGCGAACAGG